RNAcentral lists this ribosomal RNA (574 nucleotides) under Apiotrichum porosum. Its description in RNAcentral is "partial large subunit ribosomal RNA". It matches the Rfam family "Eukaryotic large subunit ribosomal RNA", at positions 82 to 648 of the family's 3401-position model. Lineage: Eukaryota; Fungi; Basidiomycota; Tremellomycetes; Trichosporonales; Trichosporonaceae. The record is from RNAcentral.
AGUACGGCGAGUGAACCGGGAAGAGCUCAAAUUUGAAAUCUGGCAGUCUUCGAUUGUCCGAGUUGUAAUCUAUAGAAGCGUUUUCCGUGCUGAACUGUGUAUAAGUCCCUUGGAACAGGGUAUCAAAGAGGGUGACAAUCCCGUACUUUACACAAUCAUCAGUGCUCUGUGAUACGUUCUCUACGAGUCGAGUUGUUUGGGAAUGCAGCUCAAAAUGGGUGGUAAAUUCCAUCUAAAGCUAAAUAUUGGCGAGAGACCGAUAGCGAACAAGUACCGUGAGGGAAAGAUGAAAAGCACUUUGGAAAGAGAGUUAAACAGUACGUGAAAUUGUUGAAAGGGAAACGAAAUUCAUGAAUCAUGUUUAUUGGACUCAGCCGUUCUUCGGUGUACUUCCUUUAAACGGGUCAACAUCAGUUUUGUCCGAUGGAUAAAGGUAGUAGGAAGGUGGCUCUCUCGGGAGUGUUAUAGCCUAUUGCUGCAUACAUUGGAUGAGACUGAGGACUGCAGCUUGCCUUUAUGGCCGGGGUUCGCCCACGUUCAAGCUUAGGAUGUUGACAUAUUCUCGAAUCACGAC